RNAcentral lists this ribosomal RNA (400 nucleotides) under uncultured bacterium. RNAcentral's name for it is "bacterial SSU rRNA". It matches the Rfam family "Bacterial small subunit ribosomal RNA", at positions 355 to 771 of the family's 1533-position model. The record is from RNAcentral.
UGGGGAAUCUUGCGCAAUGGGCGAAAGCCUGACGCAGCAACGCCGCGUGCGGGAAGAAGGCUUUCGGGCUGUAAACCGCUUUCAGUAGGAACGAAACUGACGGUACCUACAGAAGAAGGAGCGGCCAACUAUGUGCCAGCAGCCGCGGUGACACAUAGGCUCCAAGCGUUGUCCGGAUUUAUUGGGCGUAAAGAGCUCGUAGGCGGUUGAGUAAGUCGGGUGUGAAAACUUUGGGCUUAACCCAAAGAUGCCACUCGAUACUGCUUUGACUUGAGUUCGGUAGGGGAGUGGGGAAUUCCUUGUGUAGCGGUGAAAUGCGCAGAUAUAAGGAGGAACACCGGUGGCGAAGGCGCCACUCUGGGCCGAUACUGACGCUGAGGAGCGAAAGCGUGGGGAGCAA